This 397-nucleotide long non-coding RNA is filed under the name Chinchilla lanigera (long-tailed chinchilla). RNAcentral's name for it is "lncRNA (ENSCLAG00000027440.1)". The record is from RNAcentral. Lineage: Eukaryota; Metazoa; Chordata; Mammalia; Rodentia; Chinchillidae.
ACACUGUAAAUAGAGUGGUGAUCAAUAAGAAAUGUGUUUCAGUAACAGAUUACAGGUCAAGAAAUAUUUCUAGAUCCUUUCACUGCCUUCUGGGAGCAGAGAGCAAGAGACUGAAAGAGCUAUGCAUCAAGUAUUAAGACCUAAGAGGAUAUCACUGCCGUCAGAACCAAUAACAGAAGAUCUGAAAGAAGUUUCCAUUCCCCUAAACCUGUGGUCACCCAGUGUUCCAGCAGAGACUCACAUGACUGAGACUAACCCAAGUCGCGAGAUUCACGCACAACCAAACUCCCCUGCAAGUCACCAGGAUCCUUUAGAAGCUACAAAACCAGGUUGGAGGUCAUGAAGGAUGGGAGCCUAGCCUGCCACGGUAUCCAAUAAAGCUGGUUUUCAGUCUUUG